Molecule: long non-coding RNA, 392 nt
Filed under: Sinocyclocheilus anshuiensis
Lineage: Eukaryota; Metazoa; Chordata; Actinopteri; Cypriniformes; Cyprinidae
Description: lncRNA (ENSSANG00000026602.1)
Source: RNAcentral
ACCAUAUCUUUUUGUGUGUUUAAUUUUUCAGGAGAUUGUCUGAUAUCCAUUAUCCUUAUUGAUUUAUUUUUUCGUCUUGCAAUGACAACUGACCAAACAGUUCUAUUAAGAACUACUCUUCUUUCUCUGCCUUCUGCCUUCUUUCCCUUAUUUCUGUAUUCACCUUUUGUGUACCUGACUAUCGGUUAUGACAGGUGUACCACUUGCUUUUGGAGUAGAUGACAUCUAUUCUGGGACAGGCAGUUGUCCUACACUGGACAGCUGGGGUGAUGUCAAAUCCUGAACACUUUCAGGCAAAGCAUUUAAAGCAUGCCAUAUAUUUUGAGGAUAAUGGCAUCCAAAAAUAUUGCUUUCCUUGCUUUUGUUUGAGUUCCCGACAAAGGAAGAGGUGA